UAGGAAUGAGGAGGAUGGCGAAAACCCUAAAACCCUAGAGCGGCGAUUUUUUUUUCUUCCAUACCUCUUUAACUUUUUACUCAGAUCUGAGGCCUUCUCUGGUCCGGUGCUUCCCGCCAGUAUCGUGAGAGUGUCUCCUCUUAUAAUUAUCCUUUUCAAGUUUAAUUUUUUCUUAGGUGUAUGUUCUUCGACGUUGCUGGAAGGAGAUAUAAGUUAUGUUCGUUUCGGUUGUGAUCUUGUGUGUGGUGUGUGGUUUCUUGCCUUCUCCUUCGAAGAUAUGGAUUCAGAUCCGGAAUAGAGACUCAAAUCUCAGAGAAUCUCAUUUCGGUUUUCACCUGUUGAUCUUUUUAGAUCUAAUGUAUGUGGUGUGGUGUGAUGGUUUGUCAUGGAUUCCGGUUGUACUAAGAAAGAUCUUGUUGGUGGGGCUUCGGUUGUCAUGUACGCGGUGUGUAGUCACAUUAAAGGCGUGUGGAACCCAUUCUGUGGUUUAGCCACCGGAGAAGUGGUGUAUCUUUUGGCAUUGUCAGGGUGUGGAGUCGCAUCAGAGGCGCGCGAAGAGCCCUUUCACAGUCCAAUAGCAUAUCUUCUUUGGAUAUGGAGAGGCUCUACUUUGACGGUUAUAUAUUGCAACCAUGCCGGAAUGCUGCAAGGAUUGAGGAGUUCUUAGGUCUCGUAGCUUCAAUAGAUUGGGAGCUCUUUAACAAGACUUUACAGAAUUCCCUAGUCCACUGGUUGAUAGGAAAGAAUGAAAAGGGCAGACUAAUACCCUGGUGGUCUCAUUUCAGCUGGUUUUUAUACCUUGACGGUUCAAGGUUUAUUACUUUGGUGCCUACUGGUAUCAGGUUUAUUACUUUGGUGCCUAUUGGCAUCGAUAUGUCUUUAUUAGCUACUGUUUUUUCCUUCUUUGUACUGGUGUAUGUUUGCAGUACUUGGUUUAUGCAUCUAUGUAUGACCAAUUUGGUCAUGAACUCUA
This is a long non-coding RNA of Brassica napus (rape), 973 nucleotides long. RefSeq lists it as uncharacterized. NCBI's taxonomy places the organism in Eukaryota, Viridiplantae, Streptophyta, Magnoliopsida, Brassicales, Brassicaceae. The record is from RefSeq and is a predicted model, not a curated record. The transcript has 2 exons.